AUAUUCCCAAAUUCCUACAUCCCCAAAUUCCUGUAACCUCAAAUUCCUAAAUCCCCUAACCCAGAGUGUCAAAGUCCCCUAAUCUAGAUAACAGCACGUGCCAAGCAUGACAACGGACCCUUCAAAGCAGCCACGUGCUUUUAUUUACCUGUGGUUCGAUUAGGUGGCCCGCGCGUGGGUACAAACGAUAGAAUCAGGGUGUAACGAACCGUGGGUCGCACCGGGCUCGUUCUUAACUUUGACAAGCGUAUUACACCAUAGCUUGUGAUCAAGACAUCCCUGGGAAAGAGAUAAUCGACCGCUUCGAACACGUUUCUUUGCUGCCGGUUACGUCACCUGUUGUUUAUUCUGCUUUGUGAAGUCCGCCAGAAAGCAAAUUGAACGACGAGCAAUGAAUUAAUUUUAUGUUCUUGUACGGGACGUUUUUAAAACGAGGAAUAUUAUUCGACUCGAUUACUUGGAACAUUUUAUUAUCAUUGUAUGAUGUCAUCAAUGACGUAAGAUUCGAUAUCGAGCGAAUCUUCGUCGACGUUCUGAAACGAGAACGUCUUUCAUGUUCGCUACAAUUGGUCCUUACUUUGUUUAGAAAUUGGGGUUAGUUUAUUUCAUCUUCGGUUCAUGUAUGAUUGAGGUGGGUUAGGUUAGGUCUGGUAGGUUAGGUGAGCUCAGUUAACUACUUUGAGCUACUUCCUUCAAUGAUCAGUUAAUUAACUUUUGAGGUAGGUUAAGUCUGUUUGUUCAGUUAGGCCAAUGGUUGAGUUGUCUAAUUGAAAUUAAUGAACUUGGUUGGAUACAUUAGGUGACUGAGUGAUUCAAGGUUAAAUUGAUUCAAUUGCUUUAAUGUAAUAGAGUGAUUUGUAUAAUGUAAUAUGUAGUUGAUUAUAAAUGCCAACAUAACAAUUGUCACUUACUUAAAUUUGUCAGAAAGCGUCUUUUAUAUCCACAUUAAAUUUUCAGGUCACCAGCGCCGAUUUAUUGAAAAGAAACGAUCGACAUCGAUAUGUAGUCUCGUCCAACAGUACGGUGUAUUUCUGGAUAGUGAGUCACCGCGUUUCUCCGCCACGUGCUUUCUCCGUCAUUGAGUCACGAACCAGAAGACGACGUUCUCAUCGUAGUACACGGUGUCUCGAAAUAACAAUUACAGCAAUUCAUAAAACCGACGAUUCCGAUUGCGCACGAAAGGUGCAGUCAAAGUUGAGCAUUGUCAAAUGAUUAUCGUGCACGAACAAUAAUCGAAACAAUUCCUUCAAACGACUCUGACUGCUAGAACGCGAGGGUCGCGAGGCAACAUUCUCGCGUGUCAUCAAGAUGGUGAGCUAUAGAAACGAGGAUUUGUCGCUGGGACGCUAGACAAUGGACUAUUAGGGCAGUUUCGUGGUAAGCUGCUCGACAGAGCCUCUCUUCGUCGCUCUUUGUGCCACUAGAGAAGGGGACGGUGAGGGUGGUAGAAACGUGGAGGGCUUGUCGAGGGUGCUCGACGCACACCCACACACCCUCCCCACCUCCUGUGCCCGUUCCUUUUUCAUACCUAUUUGCUCUAUCGUUGCUCGAAUCGUGGCUGCCGCUGGUUGUUGGCUGCUUUGUGGCCGAAACUCCCUGGAAAUUCCUCUUUGUGCAUCACCUCCUUCAAAACGUCUGCCUCGUCCUGGAUUUCAUUCUUUUCCAACCGGAGAUGUUGAUUCAGGCUGAUGUUCCAACGAUUUUUUCGGGUCAUUAAGUGUUGGGCUUGUUAAUGGAACUCAGUUGGAAAUCCUCAAGAUUCUCUCUUCAUCAUUUGUACCUUUGGUUACUUGAGGUAUGAUUGGUAUGAUUAGCUAAGGGUAAUAGCUGGAAUUGAUUAGUCAUAUUUCUUAAAAGUGACACCUCAGAUGUAACUGGAAUUCUGAAGAUAUCCUUUAUCGUUAUUUAAUGAGUACAUGGUCGAAAUCAGUGUCAUAUUUAAUUCAAUUUGAAUAUUUGAUAACGUUGGAACCAGAGGAAGGACUAAUUUGGUGGUUGGCGGAUGUGGUGUCCAAAUUAAGUCCACAUAAGUCAUUUAUUUAAGGAUGUGGUCUUCUGGUUCCGGAAUCUUAUCCUAAUUAUUUAGAAAAUACUUUAAUGACGCACUAACAGUUAGUAAUAAAAGAACCAUUAAUUAAGUCAUCAACCAGACACACUAUUUUAUAAUGCAUUCUUAGUUUUCAUUCUCCACAAUUUUCCAGGAGUGGGUGGAAGUAAUUUACAGAUUUUCUUUGUAUUCCACAGAAUUUCCCAGAAGCCUUUAGAAUUCUCCACGGGAAACCCAACUAGAAUUCCAAUUUCUUUAAACGCCACCAUUAGUGCAACAAGAAUAUCAAAGAAUCAACUUGCAUCGUUCAUUAAUUCGUCGCAAGAAGAAGAGGAAUCACCUACGUGACGAGCAUCCCGACGUUUUUCAUGCUUUUCCUCGCGUCUCGGUACUCUUUGAAGAAACUGGAUCCUCGACUUUAUUAAGUCAUUAAAUCUGACCGAACAUCAAUCUUCUCUACCCAUCUUCAACGCUUUAAACCGCCAUAAAAUUUCAUUCUAAUAGUACAUAAGAUCAUAUUAACCUGAGUGAAAUUAGUACGUGUCAAACUAUCUUUCACGUCUGAUCAAUUAUGUUCCUAACAUUCGCAACGUGUUAAGCAAAAUCACACACAGGAUUCUUAACGUGUUACAAAAUGAAACAGUAAUAUGUUUGAAUGUGAGAGAAGAAGAUGAAGUCUGGAAUUAAAUUGACAGAUCAGUAAACCAUCUUCACUGUCAAAUUGCUAACAAACAUAAUUUAAAAUUAUACGCCAUCAAAUUUGUAUAAAAUACCAUAUCAGAAUCCAAAGCCUCUACUGUUUGAACAAAAGAUUGGGGUCUGAAGCAUCCCCAACAUUAUUUGACCCAAAGGGUAUCAUUUUCAUUGAAAACAUGGCUGACCGAUCCAAAGAGGUGUCUCAUGUCCACUUAACCUCUGUCAACUGCGAAAACGGGGUCUUGAGCCCUCUGAAAUCUUUGGAAACAUCCCUCGAGUUUAAGGGAGAAGCACGUUGGCCAUUACGAAAACGAAAAUAUCCCGGUUUCAGGCUGGAAUAAAAGCCGGUAGAAAAAUCCACGUACAACUUAAGAUUGCAUUGGUGGGAGUUGAGUGACAAGUAACAGAAGAGCUGUAGGUUCUGGUUUGGCCUCGUAUCGGCAGGAGGAGAGGGUGCGCCUGUUUGGCAAAAGCAAACAAUCCAUCGAGAGACCCAUAUUCUCUGAUCCAGAAUAGAUCGAAACGUUCUCAAAUACUUCGAAAUCUAUCGCUCUUCUGAUAAACUCAUGGAAUUAAUAUUGAAUCUACCGAGAUUGAUUAGGAAUAAGUCAUUGUUUUCGAUCAGGUAGUCGUCGGAGUUAGAUUGUAAUUACAUGUAUGAAUAAGCCAUGCGGAUUUAUUUCUGUCUAGCCAGUUCGACGCGAAGUCGAGAACAAAGAGUGAGCUGUGGAUUUUGAGAUGUGAAAAGCUUAAGAAAAGUUGAGAAGUUCUGAAGCAUACAAAAUUCUGAAGAAUACAAAAUUGAUUAAGCAAUGGAAAAUAAUGUAAAAUAUAAAUUAGUUAAGAUCUUUUUCAUUAAUUGGAACAUUUUGGAGGAAGUACAGGGAAGACCCAAAAAGUCACAAUUGGAAAAACGAUGAUGGAGAAUAAAAGCUGUUAAGUGGGUAACUGAGCUUUCUAAUUUGUCGAGUCGCCUCGAGUUUCACCGCGAGGGGUGAGAAGCAGAGAAAAUGGGGGAAAAUUGUCUGGCAAACCGCUGGGGGUGCAAAAAGGAGGGUGAAAGAGACAGAGACUCGAACACGGUUAACCGACGUAUUUAGGAGUACUGGAGUUGGAAAAGUUUCAAGAAAAAUGGCAAAUUCAGAAGUCAUGGAAAGUUUGUAAAAGUUAUUGAAACUGGAAAUUUCAAAGACAAUGGAAAAAUUUGGAAUUCUGGAAGAUUUGUAGAAGCUAUGGAAAGUUUGUGAAGAUUGAGUCUUAGCAAAUGGAAAGUUAAAAUGAUUUUGAUGCCUUGAAAGGUUAUGGAAGACUGUUCAAAAUCCUUUAAAAAAUACUAGGUACUACUAAAGUACUGCAAGCUCACAGGAAAUUACUGAAAUCAUGCAAAAUCAUAAUAGGUCUAACAAAUGGAAAAUUGUAAACAAAUUAACAACAAUUUACCGCGAUGAACUAAUUGAGUCUAGGUAAAAAAAUUUGCUUAAUUGAUACUUCCCCAAUCACGAGUUGGACAAUUGAAAAGGCCAGUUCGGUUGAAAUCCUCAUCGACAUCUGACGUAGUGCCGGAAGCGUUAUUUUUUCCCCUCGGCGGAACAAGACGUGUAGUUUCGAUGUGUGACGCGUGACUGGCAGAUCGCAGCCCGAGGCCCGAUUUUUUUCGCGAACCAGAACGUUUCUUCACGGGAAGUCGGCACCACCAUGAUUUCCGCAAUUUCACCCUUUUCAGAGGAUUGCAAACGGUACUUGUCUCCCACCGGCCGAUAUUAAAGUUCAUAUAAGAUGAUCCGCUUCGGGAUCUUAUCCCCUUUCCUCUUUCUAUGACCUGGGAAUCAACACGUGACCAUGGUUCUUAGCGCACCUCCCUCGGGGGAUUCGUCUGGGCGAUCUCGACGGCUCGUGUUGCGUUGUGAUCAGAAUGGUCUUCAGGAAUUCUAGAUCAUAGGUUGACUUUCAGCUUUAGAUCAUGAAGUGACUUUAGGUUAGGUAGGAUCUAGGACUUGAACCUAACUUGGUGACUGUAUUUCAGUAUUUGUAAUUUAAAAAGUGGGUAUAUGACAAGGUACAAGGUCAGCUUUAGAUCAUACAGUGACUUUAGGUUAGGUAGGAUUUUUGUCUAAGGCUUGAACCUAACUUGGUGACUGUAUUUCAGUAUUUGUAAUUUAAAAAGUGGGUAUAUGACAAGGUACAAGGUCAGCUUUAGAUCAUACAGUGACUUUAGGUUAGGUAGGAUUUUUGUCUAGGGCUUGAACCUAACUUGGUGACUGUAUUUCAGUAUUUGUAAUUUAAGAUGUGGGUAUAUGACAAGGUACAAGGUCAGCUUUAGAUCAUACAGUGACUUUAGGUUAGGUAGGAUUUUUGUCUAUGGCUUGAACCUAACUUGGUGACUGUAUUUCAUUAUUCAUAAUUUAAGAAUGUGGGUGUAUGCCAAGGUACAAGGUCAGCUUUGGAUCAUACAGUGACUUUAGGUUAGGUAGGAUUUUUUUCUACGGCUUGAACCUAACUUGGUGACUGUAUUUCAGUAUUCAUAAUUUAAGAAUGUGGGUGUAUCACAAGGUACUAAGAGAUGGAGUGAUAAAUAGUCUCAGAGUGUUCUAAACAUGUUUAGAUUCUUCAAUAUUAAACAGUCCUAGUCAGGAUUAAACAGUGCCAAAGUCUUCAAGAUUAGAGAGUACCAGUCCCAUAGUCCCAUAGUCUUCAAGAUUAAGUUCCAGAAUCUUCAGCUAGCAGUUGCAGAAACUUCAGGAUUACCAGCUCCAAAGUUCUCAAGAUUAAACAGUAAAGUGAGGAUGUUGCUAAAAAGGUCAUAAACUUUCAGGUCCUCAUGGUCCACCAUAGGCCUCACCCUUCCAUCAGACUGUGCUUCAAAUUAACGUCCCUCUUCUUCGCCUGGAAUACCUGUCCACGUUCCACUGGCGGCAAAAGUCGGUUCUCGAAGGCUGUUAAAAUGCAAAGGCGCCCCCUGGCUCUCCGCAAGAUUCGGCAGGCGUGUGUGCUCCUUAGUAUUCCGCCCGGCGACGGCCCUCUUUUCCGCGCCUAGAGUUCUUCCGCUCCGCUCUCCUCUCGCGGCUUGCCCGCGCGUGGCAUGCUCGUCGCAUUAAUAUAGCACGGCUUAAGACAAAGAACGAUCGGACCUGGUCCUACCUUCGCUACUUCUCCACGGCCGCCGACUCGUCUUCCAGCGAUGGACGUAUAUUUUCGUUAAGUUGAAGCCUCCGGGAAAGUCCUUCGAAUUGGGGGAUUUCUUUCUCUCCGCCUCGCGGAACGUGCCGGGUCUUGACCUUUGAGAGACGUUCCAUACCUGAUCCUGGGCCGCCAUAUUUCACCUGGAGCCUCUGCUCCGAUCUCCCUGUGAUCAAACUGUCUUAGACAGACAGGUGCCCGUGAACGUUUGAGUAGCCUAAUAUUGAUGUAGGUUAGGGUGGAUGCAGCGGGUCGAAAGUCUUCUAGGAGGACGCAUGUGCAGUGUUAUAAACGAGGUACAAUCUUAAAACAGUUACCAGCUUCAUUGAUAUGAAGUAUCUUCAGCUACCCUCCAUGUAGUUUGAAGCGUACCCUCAUAUGAAGCUAGCAGCAGAAUAGCUCUGGGAUGCUGUACGAGGUUCAUGGAGCUGCGUACCUAUGUGUGUCAUACUCCACUUUUAUAAAGUCUAGGGCAAUAAAUGACUGUUAUAAAGCUAAAUAGAGUAUUCGAUCAUUACAAUAGCUCAAAGAGACCAACAAAGAAAGCAGAGGACUUCAUAUGGUUGAAUAACCUGAGCACAUGUCUAUUGUGAAGUCACAUGUGCCUCGAGUUUACAGAAGGUCUACUGUCUAUGCCACUAGUCUUCAUAGAGACUUCUUAAUUACAUGAGAAUGAAAACAAGGUGUGCUAUCCAGGGUGAUCUAAUUUGAAGUACUGCGCAAUAUGUCGCCAUUUUGGAUAUACAACGUCAUUUUAUAAUCAAGAUUAUAUUUUUGAAAUUAUAACUAGAAGAUAAAGAUGUAUUCUCUUCUCAUUAUGAGAGAUGACCGUGCCGGGUAAUAAUUAUCCGUUUGUUUGUUUCCAGCAAGAAAAGUUAGUGGAAUCGUUAUAGCGAGCUGCAUCAGCUUUGAAACGUUUUUAGUCGCGUUUCUUGGCUGCAUUAUGCAAUCGACACGUGCAGGCAAACUGCAAACGGAGUUUAACGACACAGACAGCAGAGGAGAGGCGCGAGACUUAUUUUUCAGGACCAGUUCUCCACGAGCGGUGACUCAUCGUGCUGGACUCAUUUUUGCACCGAGUUUAACGACCCUUAGCUCCUUCCUCUUUUACCUGCCUCUUUCUUCAGGGACUUUCGAGCCUUGCAACCUGUUCCAAAAUGAGGUUUCUGAUUUCGAAAUAUCACUGAUAGAGGACGUGAAAUUGAUAUGGCAAUUUUAAGCCAGUUCUUCAGGGUUACGUUCAACAAAUGAUACGUAAUGAUAUCAAAGAAAUAGCGUCAGUAUUUAUGACAGUUGUGGAAGCAUCAUGGGGGUUGUUUGAAGCAGUCAAAUAAGGGAGGAUCAAAGAAGCGAUAGGUCGCGUGAAAUUGACCGACAGUUUGCGGUGGGUGGAGUGUCGGUGUUUGGCUGCAAGUUUGUCCCCGAGAAGCUUCAAAGUUCCGAGGACGAAUUUCCCGCUGGCCACUUAACCUGCCCCGACACGUAUUUCCCAUGCAUUUUAAGGAUUUCGGACACCGCGGGCCCCGCUGUUUUGUCGAAGUAUGAGCACGUAGUUGUCGUGAAAGGAUCAUAGAGUGGACUUAGCCGGGAAAUCCCGUGUAAAACUUGCCUGGAAUAACAAAGUCUCGUCUCGAAGCUCGUUCAUGCCACCCUGUACGACCCGCCAUACUAUUCUUCCCCCCCUUUUGCUCUUUUAUGGACAUUUACGAUUCGUGAUCUUUAAUGGGUUCAUUGACACCCCUACUCUUUGAUUAGAAUUACAAUUCUUAUUCUUUUAGGUUGCUGAACACUUGGAAAGACUAUAUAACGGAUGAGGCGAUAUAACAGGAGUGUAGCGUAUAGUAGCACGUGAAGUACACGAAGAAGUGAUGUAUGGAAGUCUAAUGUAUGUGGAUGUGUGAGAAUCUAACAUGUAGGGACACAAUACAUGGCGAUAUAGCGCGUGGCAGUAUAAUCUUUGAUGGUACAAGCAUUUUAUCGCGAAGAGAAACAUCUAAAGACCACCCAUUCGCAGCUCUUCGAGCGAAACAAGUUCCUUGAAACGUUGCGUUUCGGAGGCUCCAAAAACGUGAAGCUUUCAGCGUUUCUCGAGCAGAAAUUCCGACGUUGAAGAGGUCACGAACAUAACGAGCUUGAAACAGUCGUCGAACGUUGCAGGAUGCGUGACGAGUUAUCGUGGAUUUAUCUUGUUUGAGCGUGUCCACGUUUCCGUGAUUUCGUGAAAACGCCGGAUGAAUGCAGCUUCGGAUAAGAAUGAGCGAUUGACAGUGUACACUUGAGACUCAGUUAACUUAACCCAAUUCAGGAUCAAUGUAAAUUUAUUGAAGGUUAUGUAAAAUGAAUCUAACUUAGGUGACUCAAUGUAAUUUACAUGAACUGAAACUUCAUUUGAAUCACUUCAGUAAAUUUAUUGAAGGUUAUGUAAAAUGAAUCUAACUUAGGUGACUCAAUGUAAUUUACAUGAACUGAAACUUCAUUUGAAUCACUUCAGUAAAUUUAUUGAAGGUUAUGUAAAAUGAAUCUAACUUAGGUGACUCAAUGUAAUUUACAUGAACUGAAACUUCAUUUGAAUCACUUCAGUAAAUUUAUUGAAGGUUAUGUAAAAUGAAUCUAACUUAGGUGACUCAAUGUAAUUUACAUGAACUGAAACUUCAUUUGAAUCACUUCAGUAAAUUUAUUGAAGGUUAUGUAAAAUGAAUCUAACUUAGGUGACUCAAUGUAAUUUACAUGAACUGAAACUUCAUUUGAAUCACUUCAGUAAAUUUAUUGAAGGUUAUGUAAAAUGAAUCUAACUUAGGUGACUCAAUGUAAUUUACAUGAACUGAAACUUCAUUUGAAUCACUUCAGUAAAUUUAUUGAAGGUUAUGUAAAAUGAAUCUAACUUAGGUGACUCAAUGUAAUUUACAUGAACUGAAACUUCAUUUGAAUCACUUCAGUAAAUUUAUUGAAGGUUAUGUAAAAUGAAUCUAACUUAGGUGACUCAAUGUAAUUUACAUGAACUGAAACUUCAUUUGAAUCACUUCAGUAAAUUUAUUGAAGGUUAUGUAAAAUGAAUCUAACUUAGGUGACUCAAUGUAAUUUACAUGAACUGAAACUUCAUUUGAAUCACUUCAGUAAAUUUAUUGAAGGUUAUGUAAAAUGAAUCUAACUUAGGUGACUCAAUGUAAUUUACAUGAACUGAAACUUCAUUUGAAUCACUUCAGUAAAUUUAUUGAAGGUUAUGUAAAAUGAAUCUAACUUAGGUGACUCAAUGUAAUUUACAUGAACUGAAACUUCAUUUGAAUCACUUCAGUAAAUUUAUUGAAGGUUAUGUAAAAUGAAUCUAACUUAGGUGACUCAAUGUAAUUUACAUGAACUGAAACUUCAUUUGAAUCACUUCAGUAAAUUUAUUGAAGGUUAUGUAAAAUGAAUCUAACUUAGGUGACUCAAUGUAAUUUACAUGAACUGAAACUUCAUUUGAAUCACUUCAGUAAAUUUAUUGAAGGUUAUGUAAAAUGAAUCUAACUUAGGUGACUCAAUGUAAUUUACAUGAACUGAAACUUCAUUUGAAUCACUUCAGUAAAUUUAUUGAAGGUUAUGUAAAAUGAAUCUAACUUAGGUGACUCAAUGUAAUUUACAUGAACUGAAACUUCAUUUGAAUCACUUCAGUAAAUUUAUUGAAGGUUAUGUAAAAUGAAUCUAACUUAGGUGACUCAAUGUAAUUUACAUGAACUGAAACUUCAUUUGAAUCACUUCAGUAAAUUUAUUGAAGGUUAUGUAAAAUGAAUCUAACUUAGGUGACUCAAUGUAAUUUACAUGAACUGAAACUUCAUUUGAAUCACUUCAGUAAAUUUAUUGAAGGUUAUGUAAAAUGAAUCUAAUUUAGGUGACUCAAUGUAAUUUAUAUGAACUGAAACUUCAUUUAAAUCAAGGUGAAUGUACCUGACAAUCUAACUUAACUGAAUCUAACUUAAGCACUAACUAACUUAAUCCAGCACUGUUAGUUGAACUGAAAUGUCCUUAAAAUUGAAUGAGUGUUUAAGCGAGUCUAAUUAUAGUCCGGUUAGAAUAGAAAUUAAAGGCGUUAGGUCGUGUCAUUAUCCUCGACGAGGCGUCGGUCGUGGUUACAUAAUGGGUGUACACGAUGUGUCUCAUCCUACGCGUGGAACCGCGCGGACAAACGUGGAUUGUUUCGCGUGCGCUUUAACGAACGCGUGAACGUAAUAAUACAUUCCGUCUGAACCGAUUUAAGCUUCAUUAACGCGAUGCACGAGCAGGAAAACCGCGUCGGUACUUCCGGUCACGCGCUGCACCAAGGCGCAUCUCGUGCCUUGUGCACGCGUCUGGUGCAUUGGAACGCUAAAUAUUAGCUUUUAUUGGACGUAUCCGCCAGAUGGUUACUUUUUUCGUUGUCUACUUUUUGCAACACUGAUUCGACGUCAUCUCUGGGAGAUGUUAAAUCAUUAACCUACGUGUCUUUAAAAUUAUAUUUAUAUUCUCUCUAGGUCUCUUUAGGUCUCUUCUCUAGGUUCAGUUCAAUAGCAUGUUAGCUUAAAUUGAGUCUAAGUUCAUCUUUCGUUGAGUCCACAAGUUACUUGAACUUGCAUUAAACCUUGAGUAGAUUCAACUUAAUUUUUUAUCGAAGUUCAACUUUUCUGUAAUUUAUGUGGACUUAAAUGAUUUAUCCUCUACAUGAAUUGCAAGUCAAGAGCAAACCGAAAUCUCCAAUAUCCCGCGAUCCGUCAUAAAACUAGGACACUAGGACAGUAACGAUCCUUGAAGAACGCUUUAUAUCUCUUCAGGACCGUUUGAUUCGACGAAGGGUCACGUAGGGUCCCUGAGGAGAUAUCCAGUUUGUUAUUCCUGUAGCACAAUAUCGAUACACGGUCGCGUUGCAUAAGCUCGUCAGCCGUUUUCUUUCUCUAACGAUACUUUAUUUCACCGCGUCUGCUCGCGCGAAGCAGGGGCGUCGUUGACCCAUGACUCGUUGAAUUCUGGCCAGCUUGUUGCGAAUCACGGCGGUGCCGGUCGAUUCUGAAUUUAUAUCGCGUGUUUAGGUGAGAAUUGGUUCUUUAUGAGCGGCACGUGAGCACACUUGCCGAUAUACAGACUGAUUUGUAGCGAUGGAGAGGGUGGAUGCUCGGGAACAUCUUCGGAUUACGUUUCUUUCGGCUUUUGUCGAAUGCUUUCAAGGUGUUCUGUAAUGAGAGUUAAAACCUUGAACAAAGUUGUAUGUCCUUGACAUGAUUCUCGCGAGUAAAUGUGACACGCCUGGCACAUUAAUCUUAAAUUUAUAACUUGAUAAAUAUGUGAUUUUAUUUAUAAUAAAAAAUUGCAAGA
Megachile rotundata (alfalfa leafcutting bee) is the source of this 11239-nucleotide long non-coding RNA. The record is from RefSeq and is a predicted model, not a curated record. NCBI's taxonomy places the organism in Eukaryota, Metazoa, Arthropoda, Insecta, Hymenoptera, Megachilidae.